GACGAACGCUGGCGGCGUGCUUAACACAUGCAAGUCGAACGGAAAGGCCCUGCUUUUGUGGGGUGCUCGAGUGGCGAACGGGUGAGUAACACGUGAGUAACCUGCCCUUGACUUUGGGAUAACUUCAGGAAACUGGGGCUAAUACCGGAUAGGAGCUCCUGCUGCAUGGUGGGGGUUGGAAAGUUUCGGCGGUUGGGGAUGGACUCGCGGCUUAUCAGCUUGUUGGUGGGGUAGUGGCUUACCAAGGCUUUGACGGGUAGCCGGCCUGAGAGGGUGACCGGCCACAUUGGGACUGAGAUACGGCCGAGACUCCUACGGGAGGCAGCAGUGGUGAAUAUUGCACAAUGGGCGGAAGCCUGAUGCAGCAACGCCGCGUGCGGGAUGACGGCCUUCGGGUUGUAAACCGCUUUCGCCUGUGACGAAGCGUGAGUGACGGUAAUGGGUAAAGAAGCACCGGCUAACUACGUG
RNAcentral lists this ribosomal RNA (468 nucleotides) under uncultured bacterium. Its description in RNAcentral is "partial 16S ribosomal RNA". It matches the Rfam family "Bacterial small subunit ribosomal RNA", at positions 28 to 507 of the family's 1533-position model. The record is from RNAcentral.